RNAcentral lists this ribosomal RNA (812 nucleotides) under uncultured bacterium. Its description in RNAcentral is "bacterial SSU rRNA". It matches the Rfam family "Bacterial small subunit ribosomal RNA", at positions 97 to 926 of the family's 1533-position model. The record is from RNAcentral.
GGCGAACGGGUGAGUAAUGUAUCGCUAAUGUGCCCCGGACACUGGGAUAGCCAGCCGAAAGGCUGGGUAAUACCAGAUAACAGGACCUGAUCGCAUGAUCGGGUUCUCAAAGGUCCGCCGGUCUGGGAGCAGGCGAUAUCGUAUCAGCUAGUUGGUGAGGUAACGGCUCACCAAGGCGACGACGCGUAGCCGGACUGAGAGGUUGGCCGGCCACAUUGGGACUGAGACACUGCCCAGACUCCUACGGGGGGCUGCAGUAACGAAUCUUCCGCAAUGCACGAAAGUGUGACGGAGCGACGCCGCGUGUGGGACGAAGCCCUUCGGGGUGUAAACCACUGUCAGGGGUUAGAAAGUUCUGAUCAACCCCAGAGGAAGGCACGGCUAACUCUGUGCCAGCAGCCGCGGUAAGACAGAGGUGCCAAGCGUUAGGCGGAAUCACUGGGCUUAAAGCGUGUGUAGGCGGAUUCCUAAGUACCUUGUGAAAUCCCACGGCUCAACCGUGGAACUGCUGGGUAUACUGGGUGUCUUGAGCCACUUAGGGGCUACUGGAACAAAUGGUGGAGCGGUGAAAUGCGUAGAUAUCAUUUGGAACGCCAAUGGUGAAAACAGGUAGCUGGGAGUGAGCUGACGCUGAGACACGAAAGCCAGGGGAGCGAACGGGAUUAGAUACCCCGGUAGUCCUGGCCGUAAACGAUGUCGACUAGAUCGUGGGCGGUUUGACCCGCUCGCGGUCGAAGCAAAAGUGCUAAGUCGACCGCCUGGGAAGUACGGUCGCAAGGCUAAAACUCAAAGGAAUUGACGGGGGCUCACAC